RNAcentral lists this ribosomal RNA (237 nucleotides) under uncultured Lactobacillus sp. Its description in RNAcentral is "partial 16S ribosomal RNA". It matches the Rfam family "Bacterial small subunit ribosomal RNA", at positions 125 to 354 of the family's 1533-position model. Lineage: Bacteria; Bacillati; Bacillota; Bacilli; Lactobacillales; Lactobacillaceae. The record is from RNAcentral.
CCUGCCCAAGAGAUCGGGAUAACACCUGGAAACAGAUGCUAAUACCGGAUAACAACAGAUGAUGCCUAUCAACUGUUUAAAAGAUGGUUCUGCUAUCACUCUUGGAUGGACCUGCGGUGCAUUAGCUAGUUGGUAGGGUAACGGCCUACCAAGGCGAUGAUGCAUAGCCGAGUUGAGAGACUGAUCGGCCACAUUGGGACUGAGACACGGCCCAAACUCCUACGGGAGGCAGCAGAG